This 303-nucleotide unclassified non-coding RNA is filed under the name plant metagenome. RNAcentral describes it as "partial contains 5.8S ribosomal RNA, internal transcribed spacer 2, and large subunit ribosomal RNA". The stretch from base 1 to 103 matches the Rfam family "5.8S ribosomal RNA", at positions 52 to 154 of the family's 154-position model. The record is from RNAcentral.
AAUGCGAUAAGUAAUGUGAAUUGCAGAAUUCGGUGAAUCAUCGAAUCUUUGAACGCACAUUGCGCCCGCCAGUAUUCUGGCGGGCAUGCCUGUCCGAGCGUCAUUUCAACCAUCAAGCCCCGGGCUUGUGUUGGGGACCUGCGGCUGCCCGCAGGCCCUGAAAACCAGUGGCGGGCUCGCUGUCACACCGAGCGUAGUAGCAAUCACCUCGCUCAGGGCGUGCUGCGGGUUCCGGCCGUUAAACAGCCUUACAAAACCCAAGGUUGACCUCGGAUCAGGUAGGAAGACCCGCUGAACUUAAGC